GGACCUCCAGUGGUGGCUUCUUAUUUCCCAGUCAACUAUUAUCCCUCACGCUUGUAGUAGUGGCUGUAAAUUGAUCUGCUUCAUCUACAGAAGUGCUAGCUAUCAUUCUUUUGGAUAAGAUCCUCUAUCAUCAAAUGGUGCAUUAUUCUCGGUCUCAACUUAAUGAAAUCAUGUCAUAUCAAUUAUCAAUUAAAAAUUACAUGGACAAGACAUUUAUAAUCUUACUUGUGUGAUUUUUAAUUGAUAUAGUUAUCUCAUUGGUGAGACAGAAAAUGAGACAUCAUUUAUGGACGACAACGGAUCUUGAUCCCAUUUGUGAGGCCAAAGAACCAAUCAAGCAUACAAGACCCUCCUGCAGGACCAUAUUAUUUCUUCUGUGUUCUUGGUUUAAUUUACUUAAUUUGAUUUUGUUCUUAUU
Molecule: long non-coding RNA, 418 nt
Filed under: Lotus japonicus
Lineage: Eukaryota; Viridiplantae; Streptophyta; Magnoliopsida; Fabales; Fabaceae
Description: long non-coding RNA (LJAP_LNC001545)
Source: RNAcentral